RNAcentral lists this transfer RNA (86 nucleotides) under Alcanivoracaceae bacterium. RNAcentral describes it as "tRNA-Leu". It matches the Rfam family "tRNA". Rfam says of the family: Transfer RNA (tRNA) molecules are approximately 80 nucleotides in length. Their secondary structure includes four short double-helical elements and three loops (D, anti-codon, and T loops). The record is from RNAcentral. RNAcentral also lists the same sequence under 1 other name. Lineage: Bacteria; Pseudomonadati; Pseudomonadota; Gammaproteobacteria; Oceanospirillales; Alcanivoracaceae.
GCCGAAGUGGUGAAAUUGGUAGACACGCUAUCUUGAGGGGGUAGUGGGCGCAGCCCGUGCCGGUUCGAGUCCGGCCUUCGGCACCA